UUGGGAACUUUUUCUUCGAAUUCUUCGUCCAUGGAGACCAACAACAAGGACAUUGACGAGUCGAGCCCUUCUCUAGCCAAGCAAGUCGACGGAGCUGACGAGGAAAAUCCCAGAAAACUCUCGAAGGAUUCUUUGCUGAAGAAAUCUCUAGCAUCAAGAUAUGUCGAUUGUAGCGCCAAAUAUAGCUGGACUAUCGGUGGAUUGCCUUUAGGGCACGGGAGCAUGGUUGGUGAGCCAAUUCGCCGUAAUCAGUGGGAUUCUAGCCUCUUCGCUUGUCUCUUGCACAACAAUGAAUUCUGUAGCAGCGAUCUUGAAGUUGAUUUGAAAUGAUUAAGCAGAUUGACCUCUAGGCAGUGCACUUCAUAUUGUUUAGAAAACUGAUUUGAGGUGGAAUCAUUUCAUUUUCAAGAAAAUAAGCUUAAAGUGGACUUAAUGCUCACAAGUUGCGUUGAAGAUGUCUUCUUCAAGGCCCUGCCACUCGUUGAUGCACAGUGCUAGAAUGGUUGCUUAAAUAAUUGUUGAUGCAAAGCUCCACGCUAAGUUUGAGGAGUUGGACACUUGAAAGUUAGAUUACCGGACACUUAUGCAAUUUGCUCAUAUCAUAUUUGGUCUAUGAACCUUCACUAUUAUAAGCAGUUCAAAUUGUUUAUGCACAGAGGUUACUGCGUGAGAAAUUCUAUGAAGGUUGCAUCACAUCUGGUCUGCAACAUAUAAAUUAUGCCUUAUUGCCAUUAGUUUUUUUUUUCUGCACUGUAUGUGCUAAAUGAGCUUAUUCUUGUUCAUGAUUAAGAGAAAUUGAGUAUUCAUUUCAAACUUUGUAUUCAAUGAUGUGGUCUUAGAUGAAAUUCGUAUUUCUUAUUG
Molecule: RNA transcript, 861 nt
Organism: Humulus lupulus (European hop)
Lineage: Eukaryota; Viridiplantae; Streptophyta; Magnoliopsida; Rosales; Cannabaceae
Exons: 3
Source: RefSeq, a predicted model, not a curated record